This 261-nucleotide ribosomal RNA is filed under the name uncultured bacterium. Its description in RNAcentral is "partial 16S ribosomal RNA". It matches the Rfam family "Bacterial small subunit ribosomal RNA", at positions 333 to 611 of the family's 1533-position model. The record is from RNAcentral.
UCCACCCUACGGGGCGCAGCAGUGGGGGAUAUUGCACAAUGGAGGAAACUCUGAUGCAGCAACGCCGCGUGAGGGAAGACGGUCUUCGGAUUGUAAACCUCUGUCUUUGGGGAAGAAAAUGACGGUACCCAAAGAGGAAGCUCCGGCUAACUACGUGCCAGCAGCCGCGGUAAUACGUAGGGAGCGAGCGUUGUCCGGAAUUACUGGGGGUAAAGGGAGCGUAGGCGGGCGCGAAAGUUGAAUGUUAAAUCUACCGGCUUA